RNAcentral lists this ribosomal RNA (111 nucleotides) under Acanthosepion pharaonis. The record is from RNAcentral. Lineage: Eukaryota; Metazoa; Mollusca; Cephalopoda; Sepiida; Sepiidae.
UACAGUCAUAUCAUGUUGAAACAUUGGUUCCCAUAUGAUCACUGAAGUUAAGCAACAUCAAUCCUGGUCAGUACCUAGAUGAGUGACUGCUUGGGAAUAUCAGGUGCUGUA